AAUCGUUCGAACACUCCCCACAAACCGAGACCUCAAGGGAGAAUAAAUACGUCUCUCAUACCUGCACUGGAGGGUGGUGCAGGAAUACUAAAACUA
This 96-nucleotide non-coding RNA is filed under the name unclassified sequences. RNAcentral describes it as "PhotoRC-II RNA". It matches the Rfam family "PhotoRC-II RNA". The record is from RNAcentral.